GUGUCAGUGAUGAAAUCUUUGUUUUGUCUCUACAGAGGUGUUGUCUUAAAAGUCUUGCACAAUAGAGUUAUACUAAGGUCC
This 81-nucleotide small nucleolar RNA is filed under the name Carlito syrichta (Philippine tarsier). RNAcentral describes it as "Small nucleolar RNA SNORD115 (ENSTSYG00000032369.1)". It matches the Rfam family "Small nucleolar RNA SNORD115". Rfam says of the family: HBII-52 is a member of the C/D class of snoRNAs, which contain the C (UGAUGA) and D (CUGA) box motifs. HBII-52 is encoded in a tandemly repeated array with another C/D snoRNA, HBII-85, in the Prader-Willi syndrome (PWS) region of chromosome 15. Lineage: Eukaryota; Metazoa; Chordata; Mammalia; Primates; Tarsiidae. The record is from Rfam by way of RNAcentral.